RNAcentral lists this ribosomal RNA (213 nucleotides) under uncultured Thiobacillus sp. RNAcentral describes it as "partial 16S ribosomal RNA". It matches the Rfam family "Bacterial small subunit ribosomal RNA", at positions 1171 to 1382 of the family's 1533-position model. The record is from RNAcentral. Lineage: Bacteria; Pseudomonadati; Pseudomonadota; Betaproteobacteria; Nitrosomonadales; Thiobacillaceae.
AAGUGGGGAUGACGUCAAGUCCUCAUGGCCCUUAUGGGUAGGGCUUCACACGUCAUACAAUGGUCGGUACAGAGGGUUGCCAAGCCGCGAGGCGGAGCCAAUCCCACAAAGCCGAUCGUAGUCCGGAUUGUUCUCUGCAACUCGAGAGCAUGAAGGUCGGAAUCGCUAGUAAUCGCAGGUCAGCAUACUGCGGUGAAUACGUUCCCGGGUCUU